AUAGCGUAUAUUAAAGUUGUUGCGGUUAAAACGCUCGUAGUUGGAUCUGCGGCCUCGGAGAACGGUCCCCCGAAAGGGUGGUCACUGUCUCUCCUAGCCUAAAUUCGAGUCGUCUCUAGGUGCUCUUUACCGGGUGCUUAGAGUGACUAGAACGUUUACUUUGAAAAAAUUAGAGUGCUUAAAGCAGGCGAAAUAGCCUGAAUAAGGUGCAUGGAAUAAUGGAAUAGGACCUCGGUUCUAUUUUGUUGGUUUUCGGAACCCGAGGUAAUGAUUAAGAGGAACAGACGGGGGCAUUCGUAUUCCGGCGCUAGAGGUGAAAUUCUUGGACCGCCGGAAGACUAACUACUG
Molecule: ribosomal RNA, 348 nt
Filed under: uncultured eukaryote
Lineage: Eukaryota
Description: SSU rRNA
Rfam family: Eukaryotic small subunit ribosomal RNA
Source: RNAcentral